This 779-nucleotide ribosomal RNA is filed under the name Escherichia coli. Its description in RNAcentral is "partial 23S ribosomal RNA". It matches the Rfam family "Bacterial large subunit ribosomal RNA", at positions 2164 to 2925 of the family's 2925-position model. Lineage: Bacteria; Pseudomonadati; Pseudomonadota; Gammaproteobacteria; Enterobacterales; Enterobacteriaceae. The record is from RNAcentral.
GUGGACGCCAGUCUGCAUGGAGCCGACCUUGAAAUACCACCCUUUAAUGUUUGAUGUUCUAACGUGGGCCCCUUACCGGGGUUGCGGACAGUGUCUGGUGGGUAGUUUGACUGGGGCGGUCUCCUCCUAAAGAGUAACGGAGGAGCACGAAGGUUGGCUAAUCCUGGUCGGACAUCAGGAGGUUAGUGCAAUGGCAUAAGCCAGCUUGACUGCGAGCGUGACGGCGCGAGCAGGUGCGAAAGCAGGUCAUAGUGAUCCGGUGGUUCUGAAUGGAAGGGCCAUCGCUCAACGGAUAAAAGGUACUCCGGGGAUAACAGGCUGAUACCGCCCAAGAGUUCAUAUCGACGGCGGUGUUUGGCACCUCGAUGUCGGCUCAUCACAUCCUGGGGCUGAAGUAGGUCCCAAGGGUAUGGCUGUUCGCCAUUUAAAGUGGUACGCGAGCUGGGUUUAGAACGUCGUGAGACAGUUCGGUCCCUAUCUGCCGUGGGCGCUGGAGAACUGAGGGGGGCUGCUCCUAGUACGAGAGGACCGGAGUGGACGCAUCACUGGUGUUCGGGUUGUCAUGCCAAUGGCACUGCCCGGUAGCUAAAUGCGGAAGAGAUAAGUGCUGAAAGCAUCUAAGCACGAAACUUGCCCCGAGAUGAGUUCUCCCUGACUCCUUGAGAGUCCUGAAGGAACGUUGAAGACGACGACGUUGAUAGGCCGGGUGUGUAAGCGCAGCGAUGCGUUGAGCUAACCGGUACUAAUGAACCGUGAGGCUUAACCUUACAACGCCGAAG